GAUGAACGCUGGCGGCGUGCUUAACACAUGCAAGUCGAACGGAAAGGCUCCUGCUUGCAGGGGUACUCGAGUGGCGAACGGGUGAGUAACACGUGGGUGAUCUGCCCUGCACUUCGGGAUAAGCCUGGGAAACUGGGUCUAAUACCGGAUAGGACGAUGGUUUGGAUGCCAUUGUGGAAAGUUUUUUCGGUGUGGGAUGAGCUCGCGGCCUAUCAGCUUGUUGGUGGGGUAAUGGCCCACCAAGGCGUCGACGGGUAGCCGGCCUGAGAGGGUGUACGGCCACAUUGGGACUGAGAUACGGCCCAGACUCCUACGGGAGGCAGCAGUGGGGAAUAUUGCACAAUGGGCGCAAGCCUGAUGCAGCGACGCCGCGUGGGGGAUGACGGCCUUCGGGUUGUAAACUCCUUUCGCUAGGGACGAAGCGCAAGUGACGGUACCUGGAGAAGAAGCACCGGCUAACUACGUG
This 466-nucleotide ribosomal RNA is filed under the name uncultured bacterium. RNAcentral describes it as "partial 16S ribosomal RNA". It matches the Rfam family "Bacterial small subunit ribosomal RNA", at positions 28 to 507 of the family's 1533-position model. The record is from RNAcentral.